Molecule: transfer RNA, 90 nt
Filed under: Nama demissa var. demissa
Lineage: Eukaryota; Viridiplantae; Streptophyta; Magnoliopsida; Boraginales; Namaceae
Description: partial tRNA-Leu
Source: RNAcentral
AAAAUCCGUCGAUUUUGAAAGUCGUGAGGGUUCAAGUCCCUCUAUCCCCAAAAAGCCUAUUUGAUUCCCCAACCCAUUUAUCCUAUCUCU